Long non-coding RNA from Macrosteles quadrilineatus (aster leafhopper), 376 nucleotides. RefSeq lists it as uncharacterized. The record is from RefSeq and is a predicted model, not a curated record. The transcript has 3 exons. Lineage: Eukaryota; Metazoa; Arthropoda; Insecta; Hemiptera; Cicadellidae.
CGUCAAGGAAAUUUCGGGCUAUGUAAGGUCAAAGGAAGAAUUUGACCAAUUAGGUAACUUAUGUUUGUCUGGCAUCAAGAUCAAAUGGAUUUGCUUUUUCCACGAGAAGUACAGGUUCAUACCCUGAUCAACCGACUCUAGGCCUAGUGAGAUUUCAAGUUUGCGUACCUCUAACCAACAUUCGCAAAAUGCAUUGGAGUGUGGUCACAGAUCUCUCUAUUACGUAAUAAAUAAAUCCAGCGGUGAACAGAAGACUGAAGAAGGAACAUCACAGGGGCUGUUACUUAGACCUUUCUAAAGCAUUGAUGAAUAUUUGUUUUGGCAGCAACGACUACGUUACAAGUUAAAUCAUCUUUCUACUGCAAGGACUCCAAUC